GGGCGAUUAGCUCAGUUGGUUCAGAGCACUAUCUUGACAAGGUAGGGGUCACUGGUUCGAAUCCAGUAUCGCCCA
This 75-nucleotide transfer RNA is filed under the name Bacteroidota bacterium. Its description in RNAcentral is "Bacteroidetes bacterium (activated sludge metagenome) tRNA-Val". It matches the Rfam family "tRNA". Rfam says of the family: Transfer RNA (tRNA) molecules are approximately 80 nucleotides in length. Their secondary structure includes four short double-helical elements and three loops (D, anti-codon, and T loops). Further hydrogen bonds mediate the characteristic L-shaped molecular structure. tRNAs have two regions of fundamental functional importance: the anti-codon, which is responsible for specific mRNA codon recognition, and the 3' end, to which the tRNAs corresponding amino acid is attached (by aminoacyl-tRNA synthetases). tRNAs cope with the degeneracy of the genetic code in two manners: having more than one tRNA (with a specific anti-codon) for a particular amino acid; and 'wobble' base-pairing, i.e. permitting non-standard base-pairing at the 3rd anti-codon position. The record is from RNAcentral. RNAcentral also lists the same sequence under 1 other name. Lineage: Bacteria; Pseudomonadati; Bacteroidota.